UUUUACUUUUACUUGCAGUAAAAGUAGCUUCUAACAAAGUGCAUGUAGUGGUGUAAACGAGCCGAACACGAGUAAGCUGGUUAAAGUAUCGAGCCAAAAAAUUCAGCUCGUGUUUGGCUUAUGAGCUGGCCAACGAACAAUAAGUUAAAAGGAUUAGAUUGAGUAUAUAUAAAAAAUAAAUUUAUAAAAUCUUAUCCAGUAAACCUUGAUCUAAUAGUUGAAAUUCUACAUAUAAAUAAAUUUUUUUAUAAUUGAGCUCAUCUUUAUAUUUUUAUUUUGCUAAAAAAUAAAUAAUAAAAAUAUAUAUUAUAUAU
This 314-nucleotide long non-coding RNA is filed under the name Ananas comosus (pineapple). Its description in RNAcentral is "long non-coding RNA (ACOM_LNC020264)". Lineage: Eukaryota; Viridiplantae; Streptophyta; Magnoliopsida; Poales; Bromeliaceae. The record is from RNAcentral.